This 897-nucleotide unclassified non-coding RNA is filed under the name Achyrocline alata. Its description in RNAcentral is "contains 5' external transcribed spacer, ETS". Lineage: Eukaryota; Viridiplantae; Streptophyta; Magnoliopsida; Asterales; Asteraceae. The record is from RNAcentral.
GUUGCGUCACGGGUCGAUUUAAUCACGACUUAUGAGUGACAAUAUACUCGAUGUCGAAGGCAUUGUAACCCAACAAGUGGGGAGUUUGAUUUGGUUGGGACAAAUCGAACGAUCUGCGGUAGCAGCGACAAUGACGUGGUGUGGAUGCAAGUUUUGUGCCAUGCCCGGAUGAUGUUGUUACUUUGUGAUGUUGAUGAGAUUUGUCAAUUGUUGUUGCGAUGUCAAGUUGUUUUGGGGACCUGGCUUGAUGCAUUGUUGGUGAUGACAUUCGUCUCGAGGUGAUGCGGUGUCAUAUUGCCUGUGUAUCCUGGUUUUGAGCUAUUUGAGCUUAAAACAUGUGGAUUAUCGGUUAGCGAUACGGCAUCGCUCCCUUGGUUGAUGAAAGUCGUCCGAUGAUGCUGUGGUUUGUUAGUUUUCUUCUCGCAUCGCUCGGUGCAUUCUGGGGUCAUUUUGGCUGUUGGCAGCUUGCUUGGCAAUUGAGCUUCGUGGGUUGUUACUGGUUGGGUGUCUUCGGGGAUGUCUAUCGUAAAGGUGCAUGAGUGGUGUUUGGUUUGUUACAGGUGGUCGGCUCUUUGCUUGUGCAACAACUUCCACCUGGCAUACCUCUUCAGUCUUGUGUCAAUGCUUGUAUUGCAUUGAAWGCACGACGGGUUUCUUGUGUUGCAUGCCUAAUUAAUGGUAUCGUUUGAUGAAUUGGUUUUCCUUUCGUCUUGUGUCGCCUAUGCGAUGUGAGAUGAACCUUGAAGCAGCCUUUGUGAUCCACUCUUUUGAUGCAUACGCAUUGAUUUUGUGGCCCAUUGAGUGUUGCUUGGUCUCAUGGAUAUGGAACCUGGUGUGGGCAUGGAAUCCUAAUGGUUCCUUGUUUGCCCAAGUUUAGCUUUUCUAAAACGAUUGUCU